This 229-nucleotide ribosomal RNA is filed under the name Vibrio parahaemolyticus. RNAcentral's name for it is "partial 23S ribosomal RNA". It matches the Rfam family "Bacterial large subunit ribosomal RNA", at positions 176 to 452 of the family's 2925-position model. The record is from RNAcentral. Lineage: Bacteria; Pseudomonadati; Pseudomonadota; Gammaproteobacteria; Vibrionales; Vibrionaceae.
GAGGCGAACCGGGGGAACUGAAACAUCUAAGUACCCCGAGGAAAAGAAAUCAACCGAGAUUCCGAAAGUAGCGGCGAGCGAAAUUGGACUAGCCCUUAAGCUUUACACGCGUUAGACGAACGGUCUGGAAAGUCCGACGAUACAGGGUGAUAGUCCCGUAGUUGACGACGUGUGUUCAGUGAAAUCGAGUAGGGCGGGACACGUGAUAUCCUGUCUGAAUAUGGGGGGA